Molecule: long non-coding RNA, 1483 nt
Filed under: Coturnix japonica (Japanese quail)
Lineage: Eukaryota; Metazoa; Chordata; Aves; Galliformes; Phasianidae
Description: lncRNA (ENSCJPG00005001720.1)
Source: RNAcentral
GUCCAUUCCAUUAAGAUACAACUUGGGAGUUUUCACCCCUGCAUUCAUCCCUGCCCAGUGCAGGUCAGCACCAAAAACAUCAAGUUCAAAUAACACGUAGUAGAGAUUAGUACAGCAAAAGCUUUGAACAUAAGUAUGUCUUUGGUAGCACUUCUGACAGGUAGGCAGGUUAAGAGGGUUUUCAGACCUGAUUUUUCUAUCAAAGCCAGACUGAACCCAGCUUCUUCAUUGAUGCUAUCAGCUUCAGGGAGUUCCUUUCACACAAGAUCCAUCAGACAUACUGCCGUCUGCAUCAAGAGAAAACAGGCUACUUUCUAGCCAGAUUAACCUGCUACCUUAAACUGCCACAUUUAAAACUACAUGCACACACACCCAAGGAUAUUUUACAGGGACUAUGUUUGUGAAUGUGUAUUCUAGGGCUCCUGCUACCACUACUGAUAGGGAGCCCUUCAGGACUGUCAUCUGUCAUACUCCGUACUGUGGUCUAUCUGCACUCCAUGACCCAAAGCCUUCAUCACCCCACCAUGUGCAGCUGCAGCUCUCACCCCAGCCUGUUGCUAACCAGCACUCCUGGAUAUGUCCAGCACGCAGCCCUGGGCAGCAGCACAAGCAUUCCAGGGCCAGAACAGUUUAUUCCUAGUUGUUUGUAAUUGGCAUGGUAGGAUUUCUCAGUGCUUUGUUUCAGAAGAAAAUUAAGCUAAAAACGCCAGAUGUUUGGAUAAAAGAAGGGAACUGUAGAAAACUGCAAAAAAGUGACAGAUGCUGAGUUACCUCAGUGGCCAUUACAGUCUCUUCUGUUGUUGCCCACAGGACGAGCACCUGAAAUGCUAUUUGUAUAUAUAAAGCUGGUCUGAGAUUACUGGGGGAGAAAUAGGCAGGACGCAGCAGCUCGUUGGCUCAACAUUCAGAGUAUCAAUUAAUUUUGAAUGCACUGUUAAAGAACAUAUUUCUUUCAGGUAUCUUGGCAGGAAGCAUUCAGCAACACAUGAAGAACUCACAGACAACACUGUAUUCUAAACAGCAGACCUGUACUGGCUGGGCUACUCCAGAACCACCAUUUCUCUCAGCACUCUGGCAAAGCCCUGAUCAUCAUCAGCAGGUUAAAAGGUCAGAUUGGAGAACCAGUCAAACUUCUUUACAGCACACGCUCAACAGGCAGGGCCAGGGAACGUCACCAGGGACUUUCAGCAUAGCCACUACUAACCUGUCUUCAUGUCUCUGGAUCUGCAAAAUGCCAGAACAUGCAAAGAAAACGUGCCAUGCUUCCAGGUGCUACCUUUAUAGAAGAGUCCCUCAGCCUUCGACAAACUGCUGUAACCUUACAGACACAGAUAAUUCCUGCCUUAAGAGGCACAAUAACACAGCAGUUUUUUCAUUCCUGGGACACAAAACCCACUUUGUUAGCAACAGGUACCAACACAACUGCUGCAAGUUCCCAAAUGAACUGAACCAUGCUCCUGCAAACAUUUUACUUUUCCAAUAG